Molecule: ribosomal RNA, 888 nt
Filed under: uncultured bacterium
Lineage: Bacteria
Description: bacterial SSU rRNA
Rfam family: Bacterial small subunit ribosomal RNA
Source: RNAcentral
AGAGUUUGAUCCUGGCUCAGAACGAACGUUGGCGGCGUGGAUUAGGCAUGCAAGUCGAACGAAUCCCCGGUAGCUUGCUACCGGGGGGAAGUGGCGAAAGGGGCAGUAAUGCGUGGGUAACCUACCCCGGGGACGGGGAUAGCCUUCCUAACGGAAGGGUAAUACCUGGCGAUCCGGCGCGGGGACAUCCUCAUGUCGGGAAACGAAUUUCGCCUCGGGAGGGGCCCACGUGAUAUUAGCUUGUUGGUGGGGUAACGGCCCACCAAGGCAAAGAUGUCUAGCGGGUGUGAGAGCACGACCCGCGCCACUGGCACUGAGACACUGGCCAGACUCCUACGGGAGGCUGCAGUCGAGGAUCUUCGGCAAUGGGCGCAAGCCUGACCGAGCGACGCCGCGUGUGCGAUGAAGGCCUUCGGGUUGUAAAGCACUGUCGAGGGGGAGGAAGCCCCGCAAGGGGUUGACCUAUCCCUGGAGGAAGCACGGGCUAAGUUCGUGCCAGCAGCCGCGGUAAGACGAACCGUGCGAACGUUGUUCGGAAUCACUGGGCUUAAAGGGCGCGUAGGCGGGUUCGAUAGUCUGUGGUGAAAGCCUCCAGCUUAACUGGAGAAGUGCCAUGGAUACUGCGAACCUGGAGGAGGGUAGGGGCAUCUGGAACGCUGGGUGGAGCGGUGAAAUGCGUUGAUAUCCAGCGGAACUCCGGUGGCGAAAGCGAGGUGCUGGACCCUUUCUGACGCUGAGCGCGAAAGCCAGGGGAGCAAACGGGAUUAGAUACCCCGGUAGUCCUGGCCCUAAACGAUGAGGACUAGUAGUGGACUUACAUGGGUCACUGCCGAAGCAAAGUGCUAGUCUCCGCCUGGGGAGUAUGGUCGCAAGCUGAACUCAAGGAUU